Molecule: unclassified non-coding RNA, 332 nt
Filed under: soil metagenome
Description: partial contains 5.8S ribosomal RNA, internal transcribed spacer 2, and large subunit ribosomal RNA
Rfam family: 5.8S ribosomal RNA (bases 1-120)
Source: RNAcentral
GAUGAAGAACGCAGCGAAAUGUGAUAAGUAGUGUGAAUUGCAGAAUUCAGUGAAUCAUCGAAUCUUUGAACGCACAUUGCGCCCUUUGGUAUUCCUUAGGGCAUGCCUGUUCGAGCGUCAUUUAAACCUUCAAGCUAAGCUUGGUGUUGGGUGACUGUCCGCUUCACUGCGGACUCGCCUCAAAAUUAUUGGCGGCCGGUACAUUGGCUUCGAGCGCAGCAGAAACGCGAACUCGGGCCCGUCGUAUUGGCUCCCAGAAGCUAUCUUCACAAUUUUGACCUCGGAUCAGGCAGGGAUACCCGCUGAACUUAAGCAUAUCAAUAAGCGGAGGA